UUUUUUUUUUUUUUUUGGGGGGGGGGGCACCAUUUCUAUGUAUUUUUGAGACAAUAAGUUAAUUAAAAUACAAAUAAUUUCUUAGAGCUUUGCACAGUUAAAACUAGGUAGUUUUCCUCCUUAUGAUAUGUUCAGUUCCCCUCAAUACUGAAACCAAGGAUUCCAGGAGAAGUCGGAGACCACACAACUACAGUUUUGAUCUCAGGCACAGGAUUGAGACACUGUCAUGAAACCAUUGAAAAUACUCCAUAGAUGGUAUUACUGUGCCUCUGUCAAAGCCAGAGCACUUCCUUCUCUGAACUUGUCAAUGUGUCACUUAAAAUAGACAUUAGUAUUUGAAGAGACACAAAACUUCAUAACAUUAAUAACAGCUUCAUAAUGUUAAAGAGAAAUAUAUAACCUAAUUGGGGAAUGAAUGUAGACUUUUUUGGCUGCUCUUCAGAUAGGAGUUUUAUUAGAAACACUGUAGUGUUUCUCUUUUCCCUCAGUUUACAGUAAGGUUCUCCAUUUGCCUCUCUCUCUUGAAAUUGAAUCUUUUUAGUUACCAUUUUUUUUAGUGAACGUAGUGGAGGAAAAGGAAGAAGAAACCAAUCCAAACCAGAAUAUGGGUGAUUCAUGGCAAGAACUCCUGAGGCUGUAAAAAACCCUGGUAGGGAUUCUGAGGAGUUGGCAUAUCUCCUUCCACAUCGAUAAAUUUGUCACUGGUGAAGCUGUUUAUUCCUUUGCAGUUGUAUGAUUUAUGCUGGACCUUUUGUACUGCUUAUGUGGACCUAUAGCUCAUCCUCAAACAGCAGAAGAUGAACUCUGACUAAUAGAUCCCAGAGACUGUCCUACAAUUUAUGCAGGAUCAGUGUUUUAAAAGGGUAGUGUGCAUGAUUUAAGUAGGAUUUGAGUAUAUAGCCAUGGUUUGUCCUUUGCUGUCAGCAAAGCCAUCCUAAGUUCAUUUCUUUAAAGAAGCUCCAGGCCAAAUGUCAGGAAAAAUUAAAUCAAGCAGUGAUGUAGUCCCAUAGGGGAAAUGUAUUUCAAUUGUGAGGUAUUCAUGGGUAUAAUAUGUCAUCUUGUAGUCUGUGACUGUUGGGUGCACUUAGAGGCAAUGUGGCUUGGUAAUUGCUACUUGUUAAGAAAUUUGGGUAUGAUAAAAAAUGACCUGCCUUGUACAGAGACAGUUUUGUUAAUUUUAUUUAUGAGACUUUCAUCAAAAUUGGAAUGAUGUGUGUAUGUAGCAGAAAAUCCUCUUUGUAACAGUAUCUUUUAUUAAAGAACAUAGUUUUUGUCUUCCAGCAGGGAGAUACCAUAAUAUUUUAGAGCUUUGGUUUUUGCAGUCUGAGAAACAAUUUGGACACAAGCUCCUUAAUUUGCUCAACCAACAAUCUGAUACACAAUUUGCCCUUCCUGAGGGCAAGUGUAAGCAAAUUUUCCACCCUCCCAACAGAUGUGGGACAAAGCUAGGCUUGUUGGAUCAGCCUGAAUCCAAACCUGGAAAGAAUUAACUCUAUCUUCUGUAGUUUUGUUUUUGUAGAGAGUUCUUCUUUUCACUGGCAUAUUCUAAAUAAAUCAAGUCAGAACCUACAGUUCAGAUUAUUUUUUAUGUAGAUACCUGACCCAGGAGCAAGAAUGAGGAGAACAUAGUUGGAAGCCUGGUGAGCUGAGAUGGAGCCACAAGCUGCCUGUCCAUGAGACACUUCCCUGCCCAUGCAGCUGUAUUAGCUUAUUCCCAGCUUUUUUGGGGGCACAGGGGCUUGCAGUGAUUUUCUAGAUCAUCUUUAAUUGCUGAUAGGUAACUCUGUGGUAUCAGUAACCAUAAGCACUUAUGUGUAGCACUGAAGCAUCUAUGUCAUUCUUAGCCCUGCUAUUUGAUUACUGUGAAGCAUUGCAUGUGAAGCACACAUAUAAUUUAGAAUCUUUUCAGAUGCAAAUGGAUCUUUAAAUCAGAAGAAGCUGAUGCACGUUUGAUAGCUGCAUCUUUCUAGAAUGGAAAGUUUUAUUACCUUUUAGAUCCUUACAGAACAAUAGAACUGAUCUCUCAGCUGGACAAAAUCAUUGUAUUGCUUUGGGCUUUAGCCACUCUCUGACAUUAAUGAUCUAGCCCAGUAUUGCUCCUAUAUCUCAUGAAAAGGGUGAUGAAGCCAUAUUUCUCAGGUUUAUUUUAAGGAUGUGAGAAAUGGAAGAAGCUAGAUUCUGCUUCAGCUUGUGUCACCCUAAGUCCAGAAGAGGCGAAUUGAAGACCCAAAGUAAUUUUAAUCAGAGCACUUGUGUUAUUCCACAGUAACACUUUCCUAGCCAGCAGCCUAAAACCAGUGACAGAAAGUGAAUGAAUCACAAGAAUUUCUGAAUACUUUCAUUGUGCUCUAACACAAUGCAUGAGAUGUUCUGGGUAAGGAAAUAGGUUGCACAGAGUUUUGAAUAGAAAAAACUCUCAUGUGCUUAACCCUUUAGAGUCUGCUGCAGGCAGGAAAAUCAAGGGCUGUCAUCAGUUUCAUCUGGCCCCUGCAUGUCUGGCAAGCCAGUCCUUUUGAGGAGCAUUUUAUUCAUGGCUUAUUUGAAAAAUAGGUAUUUUCACCUCAGAUUCAGCUUUAUUGUAUUUCUUUUUGGUGUGGAUUUGUUGAAUUAAAAAACCCAUGUAAAGGAAGACAAAGUUUUUGUUGCAUUCUUUAGUAUUCAUGUGUCUUAGAAGAAUAAUGAAUUACUUGAGUUCUCUUAGAACUAAAGUACUUCAGGAUACAGGUAACCAAUGCAUCUUCAUUGGGAAGGAACUUGGUUCACAGAUCAAAGUGCAUCUUUUCCAUAAUAGUGAGCUAAAGAUUUUAAUCAAGCAGCCCAUAUGACCAUAAGGAGAUGAUGUCUUUCCCUGAGGAGUCAAGGCUGAUUGUGAAUUCAUCGAAUCUUUCUAGAGAGCAUUUCAUUACUGUGGCUUUCCUUUGUUGUAUUGCUUGGAUUUAGGACUUUUUCUCAGGUCUCUUCAGUGUCCAGCCUCAGUGAUGCUGUGCGACCCACAGACAUCUGUUUAUCUGUUUAGAUUUCUAAUCAAGAUGUUACAUAAACCAUCGAUUACAGGAUGGAAACAUGUUUGUUGAUUACUUUCUAAUAUAAAUGCUUUUUAAACAUUGGUACUGUCUGUUUAGACCAAUACCUAACGUUCACAGCUCUUGGGUUGAGUAAGCAUUCAUUACCAUCCUUUCUUCCCAAGAGUCUCCUUUGUUCUGUUUCCUAGCAGUUUUCUUGCCUUUGAUAUUGCUGCUUGCAGUAUUUUUCUCCUUUGUUUUGUCUCCUUUCCAGUUAUUUAUUUACUGGAACCAAUAUCACUAAUUUUUUUCCUAGAUAAUUGAUUUAUUCAACUUUUUUCCUAUUUCCCUAUUUUUAUUUUUUUUUAAUACAUUCUUCUUGUUUUGUUUAUGGAGAUGUUCUUGCCUCCAUCUUAAUUAUAUUUUAUACAGGUAAUUAAAAUAUAUUUCUCCCUUCUACCUUCAUUAUAUUGGACAUGAGAUUGUGCUCAUAGUAGGUGUUACCUCUUGUACAGUGGAUCAGCAACACCUGCAGGUAUUUCCUUCCUUUUUAGAGACUCAUUCAUUGCCUACUGACCCUGGCCAAGGCUCUUGAGAGAUGGAAGCUCCCACUGAAACUAUGGGAAAAGGUUUGUUAAGAGGCAAAGAAGGAGUAUUCUCUAAUUGGUAAAUGAAGCAAUCUUUGCUGAAGAAGAUGGAAGACAGUACAGUUGUUAAUAAUUUUGAUUCCUAACUGUUCUCUUUUGACAGAACAAUUUAUGUAGAUGUUAGCAAAUGAUGUUCUAGUGAGGAGAGCACAGCCCAGAGCCCACCUGUGCUGCAGAUGGCAGUAGGACUGAACCAGCUCCUCUCCCAUCAGGGAGACUGAGCUGUCCAGGCCUGCAGCUUUCUACUUCUUUGCCUUUAACCUUUGGAAAGUGUGGUUAAAUUUUUCAGACUCAUUUAUGUAGUUUGGUGCAUAAUGAUAGAUGUGCUUUUUUACAGAAGCCACUUGUAGCACAAUGGUUAUGUUACACUGUUAUUUCUAAAGACUUCAGGGAUUCUUUUCAGGCCAUAUGACUCACAACUUUGAAGUCACUGAGCAAAGGGUCAAGCCCUUCCUCACUCAAUAGAUGCUUUCAGCUCCAAGUGCUACUAGUACAUUCAGGGCUAAAACUCUUGUUAUUGAAACAGCUGUAGCUUCAAAAUGUCGUGAAGCUGCACUAACGCUUCACUUCCUGCAGUGAAUCAUUUUACUUAUGAAAGUAUAAAAGCCAGGGACAUUUAAUAAAAAAAAAGACAGAAAUAGAAAGAAAUAAACCUUCUGUGCUCUGAAACAGAUAUUUUUUUUUUUUCCCCCCAUUGGAUAAGUUUGUCCUAUCACAGCAGUAAAAUGUAAUGAUAUGGAAUAAUUAUAUGCUCCUAAGCCUUUCCAAUUGAUCUACUGUUGUGAAAAUAUAUUCCGUAAAUUCACCUAAGUGACUUUGGACAGCAACACACAAGGACAUUACGAAUAAAAGAAACACUAAUUUGGCUGAUACAAUGGAGUAUUGUGACCACAGGAACAUCAUUGUUAACCUCUGUUCUAGAUUAGAGUAGGUUUGUUGUCAGAAAAAUCUGUGUGUGGUUCAGAAGGUGACCUCAGUAAUUGCUUGUGGGCUUCCAUAUUUAUUCCCUCCCUCUACUUUCUGUUCUUAAAAUUUCAUUUUGAUUGGCAAACCAAGCUCACUUAUUCCUGUUACUGAUAGGAGGAAAGUGAUUUUAUUAAUUAAGAAAUUAAUUAAUUAAAUCAAGCAUUUAUUUAUGCUUUUGGCAAUUUUCCUGGGUGAGAUAACAGGAAAAAUAAAGCCUAGAUUUCUUCUCCUGUUUGGCUUUCUGAUACUGCUCAUAUUAAAAGUACAAUUUAGUUUUAAAAAUACUCAGAUUUAAGGGAGGAGAUGAAUAGAAGAACAUACCAUUGUUAGUGAUUUGCAUCUAUCGGUAACUGCAUUUUGAAGCAGCACUGCAUUAGCACUGUGAACAAUGAAAACACAAAAAUGCAAUGUCAUAGAUAAGAAGUAUACUCAUUACUAUUCCCCUGUUUUCCUGGAAGAAUUCAUCUUCUGCAUUUGUCAGCCAUACUUUAAAAUAUGAGGCAAAAAUUGUUUAAAUGUUUGUCAAAUGGGGAUGUAGGAGUUAGGAAAUGCUGUAAUGAGAAGUUAUUUCAAUACAUGAGAUAAUAUAUAUGCUUUGUAAUGUACACAGUUUGAUAUUAUUAAGACAUUACUGCAGAAUUAACAGAUUUCAAAGGACCCUAUGUAGCAGCCAAUGAAUAUGAUAUAUUGCAAAUAAGGUCAUCUUGUUAUACAGCUAGAGGUAAUAAAUUUAUAGUGCUCAUGAUUGUUUUUCUGUAUACAUUUAUCCUUUGGUGGCAUUUGAAUGUUUUUCUUUGUGUCUUAAAACAGCAGAAGAACUUACAGUCAAACAUCAGAAGCAAUGAAAAUAGAAGGAAAAUUAAGAAAAGAAAGGAGGCAAAGUGCAUUUCAGAGGCUAAGUAAUAGAGGAGAAUAUGCUUUCAAAAAUAUAUGUUUAUAUAUUUUAAUUUCAAGAGUAUAAUUUUAAUGAGAGACUGUAACUUGCCCAGAUACAGAGCUGUUUUAACAAAGAGAAAAGCAAUCCUUUCAUGCUUUGAGUUUUUGUUCUAUUAAAAGUUUGAAAAUUGCAAGAGAAAGUUUUACAUUUGGUGGGUUUAUAAUUAAGUAUUUGAAUUUUAAAUGCCAUUUUCAUCUGUCUGCCUCCUCCUUUUUGAUUUUACUGCAAGAAAUUAAAGGAUCUGAGAAAAGAAGAAAAAAACCCAACUACAGAAAAAAGAAAAAAA
This 5838-nucleotide long non-coding RNA is filed under the name Taeniopygia guttata (zebra finch). Its description in RNAcentral is "lncRNA (ENSTGUG00000019032.1)". The record is from RNAcentral. Lineage: Eukaryota; Metazoa; Chordata; Aves; Passeriformes; Estrildidae.